AGGGCAGUAGCUCAAUUGGUAGAGUUGCGGUCUCCAAAACCGUCGGUUGGGGGUUCGAGUCCCUCCUGCCCUGCCA
RNAcentral lists this transfer RNA (76 nucleotides) under Verrucomicrobia bacterium SCGC AG-212-E04. RNAcentral describes it as "tRNA-Trp". It matches the Rfam family "tRNA". From Rfam's summary of the family: Transfer RNA (tRNA) molecules are approximately 80 nucleotides in length. Their secondary structure includes four short double-helical elements and three loops (D, anti-codon, and T loops). Lineage: Bacteria; Pseudomonadati; Verrucomicrobiota. RNAcentral also lists the same sequence under 1 other name. The record is from RNAcentral.